GAUUUCUGGCUUGAUGCGCCUGACCCACCUCGGUUACGAGCGUGAGUGUCGGUGCGCGUCUGCCAUCCUUCUAGAAAACCAUCUCGCCCUUUACUGGGUUGGGGUGGCGAUCUAGAUCUAUUACUUUGAAAAAAUUAGAGUGUUUAAAGCAGGCUUGCGCUAUGAAUACAUUAGCAUGGAAUAAUAAUUUAGGACUUUGGUCUUAUUUUGUUGGUUUCUAGGACUAAAGUAAUGAUUGAUAGGGACAGUUGGGGGUGCUAGUAUUCAGCGGCCAGAGGUGAAAUUCUUGGAUUCGCUGAAGACUAACUUAUGCGAAAGCAUU
This 322-nucleotide ribosomal RNA is filed under the name Filosa sp. RNAcentral's name for it is "SSU rRNA". The stretch from base 66 to 322 matches the Rfam family "Eukaryotic small subunit ribosomal RNA", at positions 697 to 955 of the family's 1831-position model. Lineage: Eukaryota; Cercozoa. The record is from RNAcentral.